This 468-nucleotide ribosomal RNA is filed under the name uncultured bacterium. RNAcentral's name for it is "partial 16S ribosomal RNA". It matches the Rfam family "Bacterial small subunit ribosomal RNA", at positions 28 to 507 of the family's 1533-position model. The record is from RNAcentral.
GACGAACGCUGGCGGCGUGCUUAACACAUGCAAGUCGAACGGAAAGGCCCUGCUUUUGUGGGGUUCUCGAGUGGCGAACGGGUGAGUAACACGUGAGUAACCUGCCCUUGACUUUGGGAUAACUUCAGGAAACUGGGGCUAAUACCGGAUAGGAGCUCCUGCUGCAUGGUGGGGGUUGGAAAGUUUCGGCGGUUGGGGAUGGACUCGCGGCUUAUCAGCUUGUUGGUGGGGUAGUGGCUUACCAAGGCUUUGACGGGUAGCCGGCCUGAGAGGGUGACCGGGCACAUUGGGACUGAGGUACGGCCCAGACGCCUACGGGAGGCAGUAGUGGGGAAUAUUGCACAAUGGGCGGAAGUCUGAUGCAGCAACGCCGCGUGCGGGAUGACGGCUUUUGGGUUGUAAACAGCUUUCGCCUGUGACGAAGCGUGAGUGACGGUAAUGGGUAAAGAAGCACCGGCUAACUACGUG